This 413-nucleotide ribosomal RNA is filed under the name uncultured bacterium. RNAcentral's name for it is "bacterial SSU rRNA". It matches the Rfam family "Bacterial small subunit ribosomal RNA", at positions 28 to 438 of the family's 1533-position model. The record is from RNAcentral.
GACGAACGCUGGCGGCACGCUUAACACAUGCAAGUCGAACGAGAGAAGAGAAGCUUGCUUUUCUGAUCUAGUGGCGGACGGGUGAGUAACACGUGAGCAAUCUGCCUUUCAGAGGGGGAUACCGAUUGGAAACGAUCGUUAAUACCGCAUAAUAUAAUUGAACCGCAUGAUUUGAUUAUCAAAGAUUUAUCGCUGAAAGAUGAGCUCGCGUCUGAUUAGCUAGUUGGUAAGGUAACGGCUUACCAAGGCGACGAUCAGUAGCCGGACUGAGAGGUUGAUCGGCCACAUUGGGACUGAGACACGGCCCAGACUCCUACGGGAGGCAGCAGUGGGGAAUAUUGCACAAUGGAGGAAACUCUGAUGCAGCGAUGCCGCGUGAGGGAAGAAGGUUUUAGGAUUGUAAACCUCUGUCU